GCCCGGGUGCUGGAACAGGUAGACAGGCUAGCUUGAGGGGCUAGUGUCCUUAUGGACGUGGAGGUUCAAAUCCUCUCCCGGGCACCA
This 87-nucleotide transfer RNA is filed under the name bacterium CG_4_10_14_0_2_um_filter_33_32. RNAcentral's name for it is "tRNA-Leu". It matches the Rfam family "tRNA". Rfam says of the family: Transfer RNA (tRNA) molecules are approximately 80 nucleotides in length. RNAcentral also lists the same sequence under 1 other name. The record is from RNAcentral.